CAUGGCUUAAUCAAUCUAAGAGUUCAGCUACUCAUAACUAAACAAUCAAAUACAUAGAAAAUAGUGAACAUACAUAAACCAGAACCAACUAUGAGUUUGGUGAGAUCCAAUGCGUGUUCUUUAGCUUCCUGGUGUCUUCUAUGCUCUGUUUUUGUCUCCAAAAUCGCCCCCCUCUCCUUCUGAUCGCAUUUUGCUUUUAUAGACAAAGAAUUAGGGUUUCAGAAAAGCCCAAAAUCGUGCCACGUUUCGAGACCAUCGUGGCACGAUUUGCUCAUUAAUCCUACGUGGCAGCAAAUUUACUCAACCAUCGUGGCACGUUAUACGUCCAUCGUGCCACGAUUUUUCCAGAAUCUUCAGGUAAAUUCCACGCUUCAAACGUGCCACGAUUCAGGUCCAUCGUGGCACGAUUUCUCCAGUAAAUUCUUGCAUUCUUCUUCAAUUUGUGCAAACUUCUCUGUUAUGAAUC
RNAcentral lists this long non-coding RNA (466 nucleotides) under Medicago truncatula (barrel medic). RNAcentral's name for it is "long non-coding RNA (MTRU_LNC002823)". Lineage: Eukaryota; Viridiplantae; Streptophyta; Magnoliopsida; Fabales; Fabaceae. The record is from RNAcentral.